CCUACGGGUGGCAGCAGUGGGGAAUAUUGGACAAUGGGGGCAACCCUGAUCCAGCCAUGCCGCGUGUGUGAAGAAGGCCCUCGGGUUGUAAAGCACUUUCAGUGAGGAAGAACGCCUGGUGGUUAAUACCCAGCAGGAAAGACAUCACUCACAGAAGAAGCACCGGCUAACUCCGUGCCAGCAGCCGCGGUAAUACGGAGGGUGCGAGCGUUAAUCGGAAUUACUGGGCGUAAAGCGCGCGUAGGUGGCUUGAUAAGCCGGUUGUGAAAGCCCCGGGCUCAACCUGGGAACGGCAUCCGGAACUGUCAAGCUAGAGUGCAGGAGAGGAAGGUAGAAUUCCCGGUGUAGCGGUGAAAUGCGUAGAGAUCGGGAGGAAUACCAGUGGCGAAGGCGGCCUUCUGGACUGACACUGACACUGAGGUGCGAAAGCGUGGGUAGCAAACAGGAUUAGAUACCCUGGUAGUC
RNAcentral lists this ribosomal RNA (465 nucleotides) under Vreelandella stevensii. RNAcentral describes it as "partial 16S ribosomal RNA". It matches the Rfam family "Bacterial small subunit ribosomal RNA", at positions 338 to 795 of the family's 1533-position model. Lineage: Bacteria; Pseudomonadati; Pseudomonadota; Gammaproteobacteria; Oceanospirillales; Halomonadaceae. The record is from RNAcentral.